GGAAUAUAGUUCAGUUGGCAGAGUUCUUGCCUCGAAUGUACAAGGCCCUGGAUUCAAUCCCCAGUACCA
Molecule: transfer RNA, 69 nt
Filed under: Marmota monax (woodchuck)
Lineage: Eukaryota; Metazoa; Chordata; Mammalia; Rodentia; Sciuridae
Description: tRNA.Ser
Source: RNAcentral